Molecule: ribosomal RNA, 497 nt
Filed under: uncultured bacterium
Lineage: Bacteria
Description: partial 16S ribosomal RNA
Rfam family: Bacterial small subunit ribosomal RNA
Source: RNAcentral
GAUGAACGCUGGCGGCGUGCCUAAUACAUGCAAGUCGAGCGAACAGACGAGGAGCUUGCUCCUCUGACGUUAGCGGCGGACGGGUGUGUAACACGUGGAUAACCUACCUAUAAGACUGGGAUAACUUCGGGAAACCGGAGCUAAUACCGGAUAAUAUAUUGAACCGCAUGGUUCAAUAGUGAAAGACGGUUUUGCUGUCACUUAUAGAUGGAUCCGCGCCGCAUUAGCUAGUUGGUAAGGUAACGGCUUACCAAGGCAACGAUGCGUAGCCGACCUGAGAGGGUGAUCGGCCACACUGGAACUGAGACACGGUCCAGACUCCUACGGGAGGCAGCAGUAGGGAAUCUUCCGCAAUGGGCGAAAGCCUGACGGAGCAACGCCGCGUGAGUGAUGAAGGUCUUCGGAUCGUAAAACUCUGUUAUUAGGGAAGAACAAAUGUGUAAGUAACUAUGCACGUCUUGACGGUACCGAAUCAGAAAGCCACGGCUAACUACGUG